RNAcentral lists this unclassified non-coding RNA (269 nucleotides) under Glomus sp. Its description in RNAcentral is "partial contains 5.8S ribosomal RNA and internal transcribed spacer 2". The stretch from base 1 to 65 matches the Rfam family "5.8S ribosomal RNA", at positions 84 to 154 of the family's 154-position model. Lineage: Eukaryota; Fungi; Glomeromycota; Glomeromycetes; Glomerales; Glomeraceae. The record is from RNAcentral.
GUGAAUCAUCGAAUUUUUGAACGCAAAUUGCACUCUCUUCGGAGAGUAUGCCUGUUCGAGGGUCAGCCUAAAAAAUCGACAUAUUCGCUUUUUCGCUGUGACAUUCGUUGGAAAUUGUGUCCUCUUAAACCUUUGGGUUUUAAGCUGCUUACAAUUUUCUUUACGAUUCCACGAACGUUUCUAAGAUUUACUUCUUAUACGUUUAAGGUAUCGAUCUUUAUUUGACGUGUUCGUUGCUUCUGUUCUCGUUCAUAAAUCUUUCUUUAACU